This is a long non-coding RNA of Gallus gallus (chicken), 2202 nucleotides long. The record is from Ensembl. NCBI's taxonomy places the organism in Eukaryota, Metazoa, Chordata, Aves, Galliformes, Phasianidae.
AUUUUUCUGAAUGGUUAAACUGAAGGAAGAGUUCAGAACUUGACACAGAAGAGAAAAUAGCUUUUAGGCAGUCUGGUUAAAUUUUAAGGGCUCCAGCAUCCUGUAGCCGUGGGUAUUUACCUGAACUCCUUAAUAUUUAAGUUCAUCACUUUCAACAGAGUAGAGAUGUGAACAAAACUAGCAAAAUAGUUUUGUGGAAGGCAGAGUUUUUGAGUAUGUAUAUUGCCUUCUGGAAUUAAUUUUCAGACUGUUGCCCCCAAAAGACAUUUCUCUCCUGUAAUGCAAUGGAAAGCACAGCAAUGAUAGCAGGGCAGCAAGGCCCGAGGCUGCAGCAAGCAAGCUUUUCUCAAACACAACAGCCAUAAACACAAAAAUAAAGGAAAGAAGCUACUUAUCUUCAGAAUACCUCAGUUAUGGAAGGACUUCCAGCAAGAUACCCUUUCCUCCACUGCCAACACCUAAAUGAGGUCUGGGAAGGGGUGGAUCCUAGCUCCACCUCUUCCAGUCACUCGGGGGUACUACAAGCACAUGAGCUCCCCUGGGUUGGACCUGCCUUCCCACCAGGUGCUCAAUCACUGGUUCAAGCCAUGACUUUGCAUUUCUGCUACAGUAACACACUGAAGACAAGGAAGAUCCCUGUUCACUUACCUUCAGCCAUGAAAAGGUCUUAAUCUCCAAGUCAAUUUCUGUUUCUUCUUAUUCUCUGCAUUGUGCCUAGUUUGUGCAUUUCACAUGGACUCAGACCUGUAACAGAAGGGAAUACAAGCAGCUUGCUGCAGCUUGAGAAUUUAGCCUCACACCUGGAAGCCCAAGUGCAAGACAAUUUCUUCUUGAUGAAGAUUGAAGUUACAACCAAAGUUUCCCAUUGUGCUGAUUAGAGUUUCUUCUCACAUACCUCGAGACCAGACUGGAGAGAGAGGAGAGCAUUGCCGUUUCCUCCACUCCUGAACAGUCUUGGACAAACUGGACAGAAUACUUUGACACAUGACAUGAAGGACCAGAGGGGCAUUUCAAACACAGAUAACCCAAACACAGAAAACUCAACUGAAGUGAAAUAUUUGAAUUCUUGCCAUUCAGUUACACAGUUUUUUAUAGGUAAUAUAUUUUAAAAUAUGAGCUAAGUAGCUUGGCUGGGAUACUGGCCAAGCAGAGGGGCAGCAGGAUGGAAGCUGACAGCCAGAAUCUAGGUACCAUGGCCCUAGGAAAAUCCAGCCCCCACAGCACUCUGACAUUCAAACUUCCUACUGAUCAUCUUCCCCUUUCCUGUGAUAAAAAGUCCUUACGGCCACACAGUUUCAUUACAAAGAAAAUGAACUGUAAAUAAUACGUUACUUAGGUUUAAGCUGCUAUUACAAUUGUAUGUAGCAAUUGGCUCAAGUAUUAUAAUAAUGGUUGCCACACUACUUCAGCCAUAGAUAACACAAAUUUACCACCCAGUAUGCAACAUCAACUUUCAUUUCCCUUGUCCUCACAUUGAUUGAUGAAAUAGCUUUGAAACAAUCAAGUGUUCCCACUAAAAGAAAGGACAGUGGCAGAGUCUUAACAGAAAAAUAAUGGUUUUAUCUAUCACACUUGAAAUAAUUCCCAACAUACUAAUUAAGCUGGGCAAAAUUUCAAGGAAGAUUUGCAUCAGAAAUUUACAAAUUGAUUGUUUUAUUCAGUGCUCCCUGUGGGACAGAGAUGUGAUUUAAAACACAAAAUCAAUUAUGAAUGAGUGAAGACAAAGAGAGCAAAAUAGACCGGAGUAUUUGAAGAACAGAAAGUGAGAAAGAUUCUUAAGAAAAGAAACUGAGAUCACAAAGAUUCAGUGGGUGAAGGCACAAAACAGAAUUAAUUCUAGAAGUAAUUUGCUUUGUGUGACCUAGUUUAGGAUCAAUAUCAUAAGUUGUAGAACCAAAUGAUUUUGAGACAACUGCCAAACCCAGUAGGUCUUUUAUAGAUAUUUAGACAGGUAAUCAAAUCAUUUGAAUGUUUAUUUUUCUUUCAGUUGCAGAAGUGGAUCAAUUCUGCUUUUAGCAUGACGGGAUGGUUUUGUUUCUCAAUCCAUGCUGUGGGAUUCAUUUUCUACAUUUAAACAAGCUCAGCUUGUUCCUGGCUUUCUACCAGAGGCUGUCAAUGUCCUAUUAGCACGUGCAUGCUUGUUCCUUGGAAAUAUCCUCCAGCAGGGCAUGUCAGCCAGGUGACAGCAGUCUUCCUCCAGAG